GGCGGGCGCUCUAGGACUGCUCCGUCAGCGAAGGGGGCGGGGGUGCGAGGCGAGCGGUCGGACCAGAGAGAGGCCGGUGGCUGCAGGCGGCCCCGGUGCUGAGGGGAGCUUAUCUGUGGUGCAGCUACUACCUUUUCCUUCUAUUGGGAAUCUCCACUGUUCUGUGUGCUGUCAGAAGACACUACUAACUAAUAUAAGCACUUCAAGGGUCUGAAAAGUCCUGGAUCCUGAUAGGCUGUGAGGAGGUAGAAGUUAAAGAUCUUGUGAUCCUUAUAAAAAGGGAAUAACGGG
RNAcentral lists this long non-coding RNA (291 nucleotides) under Chelonoidis abingdonii (Abingdon island giant tortoise). RNAcentral describes it as "lncRNA (ENSCABG00000008935.1)". Lineage: Eukaryota; Metazoa; Chordata; Testudines; Testudinidae. The record is from RNAcentral.